RNAcentral lists this ribosomal RNA (483 nucleotides) under uncultured bacterium. RNAcentral describes it as "SSU rRNA". It matches the Rfam family "Bacterial small subunit ribosomal RNA", at positions 26 to 521 of the family's 1533-position model. The record is from RNAcentral.
AGGACGAACGCUGGCGGCGUGCCUAACACAUGCAAGUCGAACGAGGUCCAACCGGUGGCAACACUGGUGAAGACCUAGUGGCGAACGGGUGAGUAUCACGUGAGCAACCUGCCCCGAAGACUGGGAUAACACCGGGAAACCGGUGCUAAUACCGGAUACCCCCACCGGAUCGCAUGGUCUGGUGAGGAAAUGAAUUUUGCUUUGGGAGGGACUCGCGGCCUAUCAGCUUGUUGGUGGUGUAACGGACCACCAAGGCUUCGACGGGUAGCUGGUCUGAGAGGACGAUCAGCCACACUGGGACUGAGACACGGCCCAGACUCCUACGGGAGGCAGCAGUGGGGAAUCUUGCGCAAUGGGCGAAAGCCUGACGCAGCAACGCCGCGUGAGGGACGAAGGCCUUCUGGGUUGUAAACCUCUUUCAGCAGGGACGAUGAUGACGGUACCUGCAGAGACGCCCGCCAACUACGCGCCAGCAGCCGCGGU